RNAcentral lists this ribosomal RNA (253 nucleotides) under uncultured bacterium. RNAcentral's name for it is "partial 16S ribosomal RNA". It matches the Rfam family "Bacterial small subunit ribosomal RNA", at positions 524 to 776 of the family's 1533-position model. The record is from RNAcentral.
UACAGAGGGUGCAAGCGUUGUUCGGAAUUAUUGGGCGUAAAGGGUGCGUAGGCGGUGCGGUAAGUCUGUUGUGAAAUCUCCAAGCUCAACUUGGAGCCUGCAACGGAAACUGCCAUGCUUGAGUAUGGGAGAGGUGAGUGGAAUUCCCGGUGUAGCGGUGAAAUGCGUAGAUAUCAGGAAGAACACCUAUGGCGAAGGCAGCUCUCUGGGACGGUACUGACGCUGAGACGCGAAAGCGUGGGGAGCGAACAGG